This 944-nucleotide ribosomal RNA is filed under the name Escherichia coli. RNAcentral's name for it is "partial 23S ribosomal RNA". It matches the Rfam family "Bacterial large subunit ribosomal RNA", at positions 804 to 1747 of the family's 2925-position model. The record is from RNAcentral. Lineage: Bacteria; Pseudomonadati; Pseudomonadota; Gammaproteobacteria; Enterobacterales; Enterobacteriaceae.
AUGACUUGUGGCUGGGGGUGAAAGGCCAAUCAAACCGGGAGAUAGCUGGUUCUCCCCGAAAGCUAUUUAGGUAGCGCCUCGUGAAUUCAUCUCCGGGGGUAGAGCACUGUUUCGGCAAGGGGGUCAUCCCGACUUACCAACCCGAUGCAAACUGCGAAUACCGGAGAAUGUUAUCACGGGAGACACACGGCGGGUGCUAACGUCCGUCGUGAAGAGGGAAACAACCCAGACCGCCAGCUAAGGUCCCAAAGUCAUGGUUAAGUGGGAAACGAUGUGGGAAGGCCCAGACAGCCAGGAUGUUGGCUUAGAAGCAGCCAUCAUUUAAAGAAAGCGUAAUAGCUCACUGGUCGAGUCGGCCUGCGCGGAAGAUGUAACGGGGCUAAACCAUGCACCGAAGCUGCGGCAGCGACGCUUAUGCGUUGUUGGGUAGGGGAGCGUUCUGUAAGCCUGUGAAGGUGUACUGUGAGGUAUGCUGGAGGUAUCAGAAGUGCGAAUGCUGACAUAAGUAACGAUAAAGCGGGUGAAAAGCCCGCUCGCCGGAAGACCAAGGGUUCCUGUCCAACGUUAAUCGGGGCAGGGUGAGUCGACCCCUAAGGCGAGGCCGAAAGGCGUAGUCGAUGGGAAACAGGUUAAUAUUCCUGUACUUGGUGUUACUGCGAAGGGGGGACGGAGAAGGCUAUGUUGGCCGGGCGACGGUUGUCCCGGUUUAAGCGUGUAGGCUGGUUUUCCAGGCAAAUCCGGAAAAUCAAGGCUGAGGCGUGAUGACGAGGCACUACGGUGCUGAAGCAACAAAUGCCCUGCUUCCAGGAAAAGCCUCUAAGCAUCAGGUAACAUCAAAUCGUACCCCAAACCGACACAGGUGGUCAGGUAGAGAAUACCAAGGCGCUUGAGAGAACUCGGGUGAAGGAACUAGGCAAAAUGGUGCCGUAACUUCGGGAGAAGGC